This is a non-coding RNA of Otolemur garnettii (small-eared galago), 47 nucleotides long. Lineage: Eukaryota; Metazoa; Chordata; Mammalia; Primates; Galagidae. The record is from Rfam.
CCAAAGGCUCUUUUCAGAGCCACUUAAAAUUUUCCUGUAAAGAACUG